CGACCCGCUUCCUUCCCUUUCUUGUUGGAAGCAACGGCCAUACGGACAGCCGGGUCAACCGCCGA
RNAcentral lists this small RNA (65 nucleotides) under unclassified sequences. RNAcentral describes it as "Streptococcus sRNA SpF59 (ldcC RNA)". It matches the Rfam family "Streptococcus sRNA SpF59 (ldcC RNA)". The record is from Rfam by way of RNAcentral.